RNAcentral lists this long non-coding RNA (349 nucleotides) under Linum usitatissimum (flax). RNAcentral describes it as "long non-coding RNA (LUSI_LNC001231)". Lineage: Eukaryota; Viridiplantae; Streptophyta; Magnoliopsida; Malpighiales; Linaceae. The record is from RNAcentral.
GAGCUCUGGUCUCACUUCAGUCGUCUUCCUGUUCGGUAGGGAAUCCUUUUCUUCGUUUUUUUCUGCGAUUUUGCUUGAAUUUUGAGAUUGUUGUGUGGUUCUGUACAUCUCUGCGGUUGAUUUGAAUCAUUUGGUGGAGAUGUGGAAAUUGUCUGUUAGAGACUGAGUAACUAAGGAUUUGGACUACAGUAGUAGAGAAUGAGAAGAGAUUUUCGUUUAUUGUGCAUAGAUUUCGUUUGAAUCUGCAGUGAAAUAAUACACUUGUUUAACUAGUUCUCCGGCGAGAUCGAGUUGAUAAUCUGAAAACGGUCGUCAUUUUGUCUGCAGAUACGCAUUGGAUGUGAAUGUG